Camellia sinensis is the source of this 1215-nucleotide non-coding RNA. NCBI's taxonomy places the organism in Eukaryota, Viridiplantae, Streptophyta, Magnoliopsida, Ericales, Theaceae. The record is from RefSeq and is a predicted model, not a curated record.
ACAUUCCGAUGAAAUAAUGAAAUUUCUUACUGUUUUUUCAAUUGUGAUGUCUAAUAUGUUAUAGUAAGGUCUUAAAUUUGAAGGAGUGGGUAUUUUAAGAUUAUGGGUGUUGACCUGUAGGUAAUAUAUCCUUACAUAUUUGCCACACUAGCAUGAGCUUUGCUUUGACAAAUAUGACGAUGAUUUGACUCAGAAAUUGUUUGAAUUUUAUUUUGUGUCAACAUUAAUUAGAGAAUUGUGUCAAGAUGCGAAGCUACUGCCUUGCAACGUCAAUUUCAAGCUAUGAAGUUACUGCCUUCCAAUGCUAAUGAUUUCAUUGUUAUUAAUCAUUGAUUAUGUCUAUCAAGAAAAAAACUUUAACCAUGAGAAUCUCUUGGUUGAGAAUUUUUAUUUUUAAAAUUUUUCUUUGUGCUGUUAUAUUGCACUGCUCAAAUGCUUUAAUCUUGUGAUGAUUUGAUUAUGAAUCAGGAAAUAUAUGAUGCCCAUUGAGUCCAUACCUUUCCAUGAAAUCAUCUGCUUUAAGAACGUCGACAAACUUCAAGCAGGGGAACUAAAGUUUGUUGGAAGCCUUCAACCUGCUUCGCAGUGCUGUAAAGAGUACAUGAUUGGUCUUGCAUGUGUUGUAUAGCAUGCAGUUGAUCUCCCCCCCCCUUCGGCGCCCAUCUUUUUAUGCUAGACAAAUUCAUCCAUCCAAUUUAAAUAUCUUGAUUUUUUUUUUUUUAAAAUUUUAUCUUAAGAACUAUUGAUGAUCCGUUACUAAACCUAAAAUUGAUUGGACUUCACAAUUUGGUAGGGUUGCUGAUUUCGUGGUGGCAAAUUCCGAUCCUUUCAUACCUAUAAGUCAAAAGACUCGUACGUCUUGUCAUUUCUGGAAGUGGCUAAGGUAUCUUCUUGUCCUUUGCUUAUUUGUUCUGUAUAGAUGGAGUUUUCAUAUUUUACUUCAUAUUUUGCUACGAGCACUUGCUGUCGUGAAUAAGGAUAAAUUUACUGCAACACUAUGAAUAGAGCAAGAAGCAAAAAAGUUACUCUUAAUGUCAAAACAGAACUCAUGGAGUAAUGAUGUCUUCUAGUGACAAACUUGAUAUGAUUUGCAAAUUGAUUUUGUUUUUCUUUCUUUCUUUCUUGUAAAUAAUGCAAUAUAGAUGGUACUUGCUAUUUAUAGAUGGUGCUUGCUAUUUUAUUAAUCUUUAAUAAAAUCUUUGCUUUGUAAUCUUU